This 429-nucleotide ribosomal RNA is filed under the name Bacteroidota bacterium. Its description in RNAcentral is "Bacteroidetes bacterium partial 16S ribosomal RNA". It matches the Rfam family "Bacterial small subunit ribosomal RNA", at positions 355 to 776 of the family's 1533-position model. Lineage: Bacteria; Pseudomonadati; Bacteroidota. The record is from RNAcentral.
UAGGGAAUCUUCGGCAAUGGGGGGAACCCUGACCGAGCAACGCCGCGUGAGUGAAGAAGGUUUUCGGAUCGUAAAGCUCUGUUGUUAAGGAAGAACGAGUGUGAGAAUGGAAAGUUCAUACUGUGACGGUACUUAACCAGAAAGGGACGGCUAACUACGUGCCAGCAGCCGCGGUAAUACGUAGGUCCCGAGCGUUGUCCGGAUUUAUUGGGCGUAAAGCGAGCGCAGGCGGUUAGAUAAGUCUGAAGUUAAAGGCAGUGGCUCAACCAUUGUAGGCUUUGGAAACUGUUUAACGUGAGUGCAGAAGGGGAGAGUGGAAUUCCAUGUGUAGCGGUGAAAUGCGUAGAUAUAUGGAGGAACACCGGUGGCGAAAGCGGCUCUCUGGUCUGUAACUGACGCUGAGGCUCGAAAGCGUGGGGAGCGAACAGG